RNAcentral lists this ribosomal RNA (369 nucleotides) under uncultured phototrophic eukaryote. RNAcentral's name for it is "SSU rRNA". It matches the Rfam family "Bacterial small subunit ribosomal RNA", at positions 524 to 896 of the family's 1533-position model. The record is from RNAcentral.
GACGGAGGAUGCAAGUGUUAUCCGGAAUUAUUGGGCGUAAAGCGUCUGUAGGUUGCCUAACAAGUCUGUUGUUAAAGGUUAAAGCUUAACUUUAAAACUGCAGCAGAAACUGCUAGGCUUGAGUACAGUCGAAGUAGAGGGAAUUUCCAGUGAAGCGGUGAAAUGCGUAGAUAUUGGAAGGAACACCAAUGGCGAAAGCACUCUACUAGACUUUUACUGACACUCAGAGACGAAAGCUAGGGUAGCAAAUGGGAUUAGAUACCCCAGUAGUCCUAGCCGUAAACGAUGGAUACUAGAUGUUGCCCGUUCACCGCAGUGUCAAAGCUAACGCGUUAAGUAUCCCGCCUGGGAAGUAUGCUCGCAAGAGUG